CAUCGGUGGACAGGUGGUGCGAUGGUUGUCGUCAGCUCGUGUCGUGAGAUGUUGGGUUAAGUCCCGCAACGAGCGCAACCCCUAUUGUUAGUUGCCAUCAUUCAGUUGGGCACUCUAGCGAGACUGCCGGUAAUAAACCGGAGGAAGGUGGGGAUGACGUCAAAUCAUCAUGCCCCUUAUGACCUGGGCUACACACGUGCUACAAUGGUUGGUACAACGAGUUGCGAGUCGGUGACGGCGAGCUAAUCUCUUAAAGCCAAUCUCAGUUCGGAUUGUAGGCUGCAACUCGCCUACAUGAAGUCGGAAUCGCUAGUAAUCGCGGAUCAGCACGCCGCGGUGAAUACGUUCCCGGGCCUU
RNAcentral lists this ribosomal RNA (357 nucleotides) under uncultured Streptococcus sp. RNAcentral describes it as "bacterial SSU rRNA". It matches the Rfam family "Bacterial small subunit ribosomal RNA", at positions 1025 to 1382 of the family's 1533-position model. The record is from RNAcentral. Lineage: Bacteria; Bacillati; Bacillota; Bacilli; Lactobacillales; Streptococcaceae.